RNAcentral lists this ribosomal RNA (253 nucleotides) under uncultured bacterium. Its description in RNAcentral is "partial 16S ribosomal RNA". It matches the Rfam family "Bacterial small subunit ribosomal RNA", at positions 524 to 776 of the family's 1533-position model. The record is from RNAcentral.
UACGUAGGCAGCAAGCGUUGUUCGGAGUUACUGGGCGUAAAGGGUGUGUAGGCGGUUGUUUAAGUUUGGUGUGAAAUCUCCCGGCUCAACUGGGAGGGUGCGCCGAAUACUGAAUGACUAGAGUGCGGGAGAGGAAAGUGGAAUUCCUGGUGUAGCGGUGAAAUGCGUAGAUAUCAGGAGGAACACCGGUGGUGUAGACGGCUUUCUGGACCGUAACUGACGCUGAAACACGAAAGCGUGGGUAGCAAACAGG